Molecule: RNase P RNA, 362 nt
Filed under: Sphingobacteriales bacterium
Lineage: Bacteria; Pseudomonadati; Bacteroidota; Sphingobacteriia; Sphingobacteriales
Description: RNase P RNA component class A
Rfam family: Bacterial RNase P class A
About the family: Ribonuclease P (RNase P) is a ubiquitous endoribonuclease, found in archaea, bacteria and eukarya as well as chloroplasts and mitochondria. Its best characterised activity is the generation of mature 5'-ends of tRNAs by cleaving the 5'-leader elements of precursor-tRNAs.
Source: RNAcentral
GCUGCAAACUAAGCUAUCGUGGCGCCUAUGGCGCCAAGGAAAGUCCGGACAGCACAGAGCAGCCCACCGGUGAAGAGCCGGGACUCGUCUUAGACGAGUACAGAUAGUGCCACAGAAAAUAACUACUCUGCCGCUCCUUCAGGAGAGGGUUGGGGUGAGGGUGAAAAUGUGAGGUAAGAGCUCACAACGAUUAAUGGCAACAUUAUUCGUGGGUAAACCUUGGGUGCUGAAAUGCCACGUAUAGUAACGACUGAGAAUGGCUCGUUCGAGUUACAGGGUAGGCAGAAACAGGUGAGCAGUAAUGUUCAUCGCAGAUAAAUGAUAGCUCACGACAGAAUCCGGCUUACAGGUUUGCAGCUUUU